AUUGAACGCUGGCGGCAGGCCUAACACAUGCAAGUCGAACGGUAACAGGAAGCAGCUUGCUGCUUCGCUGACGAGUGGCGGACGGGUGAGUAAUGUCUGGGAAACUGCCUGAUGGAGGGGGAUAACUACUGGAAACGGUAGCUAAUACCGCAUAACGUCGCAAGACCAAAGAGGGGGACCUUAGGGCCUCUUGCCAUCGGAUGUGCCCAGAUGGGAUUAGCUAGUAGGUGGGGUAACGGCUCACCUAGGCGACGAUCCCUAGCUGGUCUGAGAGGAUGACCAGCCACACUGGAACUGAGACACGGUCCAGACUCCUACGGGAGGCAGCAGCGGGGAAUAUUGCACAAAGGGCGCAAGCCUGAUGCAGCCAUGCCGCGUGUAUGAAGAAGGCCUUCGGGUUGUAAAGUACUUUCAGCGGGGAGGAAGGGAGUAAAGUUAAUACCUUUGCUCAUUGACGUUACCCGCAGAAGAAGCACCGGCUAACUCCGUG
This 490-nucleotide ribosomal RNA is filed under the name uncultured bacterium. RNAcentral's name for it is "partial 16S ribosomal RNA". It matches the Rfam family "Bacterial small subunit ribosomal RNA", at positions 30 to 507 of the family's 1533-position model. The record is from RNAcentral.